ACCUUAUUCCUGGUGGGUGGAGCAAUGCGGGGAUUUGGAUUUUGAUAGUGGUAACUUUGCUCAUGCAAUAUAACUCGACACUUUACCUUGCCAAGUAUUCAGAGAAGGUGGUGGUACCUACUGCUGUUGUGCAAUUUGGGCCUUAUAGGUGGGUCCGGCACCCAAUAUAUUCUUCAACAAUGCUGUUGUUUGCGACUUAUUUUCUUGCACUUCGUGCUCCUUUGAGCUUGUUGUUUGUGGUAGCAGUAUGUUUGAUAUAUUAUGCCCAGAAAGCAAAAAUGGAGGAGGUUCUGAUGAUAGAGACUUUUGGCGAGAGAUAUUUAGAGUACAUGAGCAAAGUUCGAUACAAGUUCAUUCCUUUAGUUUAUUAGGGCAAUCUCCAAGUAU
Molecule: unclassified non-coding RNA, 387 nt
Filed under: Hevea brasiliensis (rubber tree)
Lineage: Eukaryota; Viridiplantae; Streptophyta; Magnoliopsida; Malpighiales; Euphorbiaceae
Source: RNAcentral